This 64-nucleotide transfer RNA is filed under the name Dimorphostylis asiatica. RNAcentral's name for it is "tRNA-Glu". Lineage: Eukaryota; Metazoa; Arthropoda; Malacostraca; Cumacea; Diastylidae. The record is from RNAcentral.
AUUUAAAUAGUGUAAAUACAACACGAUAUAUUUUCGUUAUAUAAAUAAUUAUAAUUUUUAAAUA